UGGUGGGUAGUUUGACUGGGGCGGUCUCCUCCUAAAGAGUAACGGAGGAGCACGAAGGUUGGCUAAUCCUGGUCGGACAUCAGGAGGUUAGUGCAAUGGCAUAAGCCAGCUUGACUGCGAGCGUGACGGCGCGAGCAGGUGCGAAAGCAGGUCAUAGUGAUCCGGUGGUUCUGAAUGGAAGGGCCAUCGCUCAACGGAUAAAAGGUACUCCGGGGAUAACAGGCUGAUACCGCCCAAGAGUUCAUAUCGACGGCGGUGUUUGGCACCUCGAUGUCGGCUCAUCACAUCCUGGGGCUGAAGUAGGUCCCAAGGGUAUGGCUGUUCGCCAUUUAAAGUGGUACGCGAGCUGGGUUUAGAACGUCGUGAGACAGUUCGGUCCCUAUCUGCCGUGGGCGCUGGAGAACUGAGGGGGGCUGCUCCUAGUACGAGAGGACCGGAGUGGACGCAUCACUGGUGUUCGGGUUGUCAUGCCAAUGGCACUGCCCGGUAGCUAAAUGCGGAAGAGAUAAGUGCUGAAAGCAUCUAAGCACGAAACUUGCCCCGAGAUGAGUUCUCCCUGAGACU
Molecule: ribosomal RNA, 564 nt
Filed under: Salmonella enterica
Lineage: Bacteria; Pseudomonadati; Pseudomonadota; Gammaproteobacteria; Enterobacterales; Enterobacteriaceae
Also listed under: 1 other name
Description: partial 23S ribosomal RNA
Rfam family: Bacterial large subunit ribosomal RNA
Source: RNAcentral